ACCCAACAAGGACAUCAAAAAGAUUAGAGAUGCCUUCGCAAGCCCUUCCUCUAAUGUGAUAUAUACAUCAUUAUAUGCCAGCAGUAGGCCUCUGGAUUUUAUGUAAGACAAUUAGGUAAAACUUUAUACGAAAGAAUUAAUGGACACAGUUUGACAUCAAGCUUCAGAACAAGAAUAAAGCAAUAUCACAGCAUUUCAAUCUCUCAGGUGAAGAGUUGACAGAUGAUUGCCUGAUCAUUCUGACAGUACAUUUCUGAACAACCCCAGGAUUGAGAGUAGA
Pantherophis guttatus is the source of this 280-nucleotide long non-coding RNA. RefSeq lists it as uncharacterized. The record is from RefSeq and is a predicted model, not a curated record. NCBI's taxonomy places the organism in Eukaryota, Metazoa, Chordata, Lepidosauria, Squamata, Colubridae.